Acinonyx jubatus (cheetah) is the source of this 5452-nucleotide long non-coding RNA. RefSeq lists it as uncharacterized. The record is from RefSeq and is a predicted model, not a curated record. The transcript has 3 exons. NCBI's taxonomy places the organism in Eukaryota, Metazoa, Chordata, Mammalia, Carnivora, Felidae.
UGACCUUCAGCCUGUAGAUUUAGCAGUUGUUGAAAAGCAAAAAUCAAUCCAGUUCCUAUUUUGUUCCCAAGCUGCUAACAAUAAGGCCUGGUAAACCUUUUUCUGGCUGACAAUUAUUCCAAACCAGCUUUUCCCCUACGCUGGCUGGCAGAAGCAGGGAGGCAGCUGGGGCUCCCUUGAUUGCCAGAGCAAGGAGGGCUCUGGGGCAAAUGGAGCUCUUGGGUACAUUUCCCUCCUGGGCUGGGCUGCUUUUCUGUUUCUCCUCUUAUUGUCAUUGAGUGCCUGUUUACUUUGGUCUUGAUAUGCUUCUCUUAACAAACUUGGAACUCCUUCCACAGCACAGAGGUAAAUAAAUCUUCCUUCCCUCCUUCCUUCCUUUCAAGACAUUGAAAGCACGAGUGGGGGAGGGGCAGAGAGAGAAGGAGACAAAAUUCCAAGCUGAUUCCAUGCUGUGGGUGCAGAGCCUGACAUGGGGCUUGGACUCCUGAAACCCUGAGAUCAUGAACUGAGCCGAAAUCAAGAGUGGACGCUUAACCACCUGAGUCACCCAGGAGUCCCUCCACAGAGCAUUUAAAGUCAUCAUCUUGACAAUGACCCUGUGGCCGAGGUGUACGAGCAGCUGAGCUCAAACUGUGCCGGAUCCCACCUAUGGCUCUUUAUGAGUUUCUAGAUGCCUGCUGGAAUUCUAGCCAUCGUGCCCAUGUCCCAUGCUGGAAGAAGGAAGAAAGGGUCAAAGGUAAAAGGGAGCAUGCCAGAUGAAUCAGCAUUCUCCACCCUUAUCUUUUAAUGAACUUUCCCACAAGCCCCACUUAGUGAUGGAACUUAAAUCUCAUUGUACAGAGUAGUCACAUGGUCGCCCUUAUCUCAGUUGUGGUCAUCACAAUCCAUUGGCAUUUAAGUACAUUUCCAGGGUUGUGUAACCAUCACCAUCAUCCAUUUCCAGAAUAUCAUCUGAAAUAGAAACUAUAAACCCACUAAACAAUCACCUCUCCAUUCCCAUCUCCCCUCAGCCACCAUUAACUUCUAUUUUACUUUCUGUCUGUAUGAAUUUGCAUAUUUUAGGUGCUUCAUAUAAGUGAUCAUACAAUAUUUGUCCUUUUGUGACAUGCUCACUUAACUUAGCAUAAUGUUUUCAAGAUUCAUCCAUAUUGUAGCAUGUGUCAGUAUUUCAUUCCUUUUUAUGGCGGAAUGAUAUUCUGUAGAAUGGGUAUACCACACUUUAUCUAUUUGUCUAUUGAUUGUGGGUUGUGUCUUAGUCUGGUAGGGUUGCUAUAACAAAACACCAAUUUUAGUGACUGGAAAUGCCAGGAUAGUCUAGUUCUGCUAGAAGCCUUCUUCUGGGCUGUAGAAGGAAACUUCUUGCUCUGCCCUCGUAUUAUGGGAGGGGUGAGGGAUCUCUGUGGGGCCUCUUUUUAGAGGGACACUAAUCCUAUUCAUGAGGACUCCACCCUCAUGAUCUAAUCACUUCCCAAAGGUCCCAUCUCUUAAUACUAUCACAUUGGGCAUUGGGAUUUCAACAUGUGGUUAGGGAGACACAGGCAUUGAGACCAUUGAGGCUGCUUCUAGCAUGUGGCUGUUUUAAAUAAUGCUGUUAUGAACAUUAGUAUAUAUGGGUAUCUGUUUGAGUUCCUGCUUUCAAUUCUUCUAGGUAGGCACCUAGGACUUGCUGGAUCACGUGGUAAUUCUAUGUUUAACUUAAAAAAUUUUUUUUAACGUUUACUUAUUUUUGAGACAGAGAGAGACAGAGCAUGAACAGGGGAGGGCAGAGAGAGAGGGAGACACAGAAUCUGAAACGGGCUCCAGGCUCUGAGCUGUCAGCACAGAGCCCAACGCAGGGCUCGAACUCACGGACCAUGAGAUCAUGACCUGAGCUGAAGUCGGACGCUUAACCGACUGAGCCACCCAGGCACCCCUAUGUUUAACUUUUAAAAUGAGGAGCCCACAAAUGCAUUUUGCAUUUUGUAUUUUAUUUAGUUUUUAUAAACUUGCAAUUGUUGAAACCACACAUUGAAAUUCUGAUAGAGAGGAGCCUCAUACUCUGGAUCCAGCCAGUUAAUGCUGCCCACUGAGCAGGGUACUUCUGAGUAACUUACGCUAAAGUGAGCUGGAUGGAAUAAUCUCCAUUUUGGAAAUGGGAAACAAAUAAGAAAGGGUAAGCCACUCUUCUCUUGGUAAUGAGAGCUCCACUAACUUUCCCUAGCUCUGCCCCUAGGAAGCUUCACCAAGUGCUUGUGGGCAGCCUUAAUGGGUUUAUACUAGAUUCCCUUGAUCCAGGAUGAACUUGUGAACACCACACAGUGGAGUUCCAGGCGGGAACUAUUUCUACCCCGAUGCUUGACCUCAAGCCAACCUGUCACAAAUUUAUCAAGGAGAGGGAAGAUGAACUUAGUUCAUUGCAUGAUCCAGUAAUAGUUCUAAACAUGCACUAGUAUAGUGGGUAAGGAUAUGGCCUCAAGGCUAGAUGGCUUAUGUUCAGAUCCCAGUUCUACAAUCCAUUGGUUGUGUGAUCUUCACUAUAGUUAUUUAACUUCUCUGUGCCUCAGCUUCCUCAUAUGUAAACUGAGGAUUAAUAAUAGUGCUUUGCUUUUGCAUAUGAUUGUUGUGAGGGUCACCUGAGUUAACACAGUUAAGAAGUAUUUUAGAAAGAUGCCUGAACUCUGGAAAGGCUCUGUGAGUGGCAGAAACUUUAGCAGUAUUGACAUGAUUAUACCCAGGAAGUAUAAAUUCUAUAAACCAUAAUAGUUAUUAGCAAACUAACUAUAGAUCACCACUGUAUCACUGGUCAUGAAGAAAAAAAAAAAGAACAAAAUUAGGAGGACACACAUGAACAAAGCAUAGAGAGUCACAGCUAGAUGGGUUGAAAAAGUCUUCACUGUGUUUGGUCUGAUGUUACAAGCCUGGAAAAUGCUAACAACCACUUGGUCUCUUAAAUUUGUUUCUCACUUCCAAAUUGGAGAUAAUUGCAUCAUUGCAAAGAUUUACUGAGGCAAAGAUAGGGCUUUAUAAGUUAUUAUCAGUAAACAAAUAUAAACACUUAAAUUAACAACGUGAAGUAGCCCUUCAGCUACAACUCCCAUUGUCCAAAUGCUUUUGUGUCCAGGGAGGUUGUGGAAAAUAUAGAGUAGGUUCAGAGGCCAAGGUCAGACAUGAGUAAAAGGUGGAGCUUCUAUGUGGUGCACUGGACCCGAUUAGUAUCUGCCCACUGAGGAUGUGGAGAGGAUGAACUGCAUCAGAGUCUGAGGAAUUUGGGCUCAUUUUUAUACACAGGUGAUUUGAAAAUACCAGAAGGAGUUCUUGAAGAAAAUGGUGAAAUCUGAGUCCGCCCCCCCCCCCCCCAUUGAAUAUCCAGUGUACUGGAGAAAGAAGCUGCACACCCAGUGUGCGGUUGUAGCAAAGAUGGGGGAUGGAUCAGAGGCUCUCUAGCCUUGAGGCAGCUUGGUUAUCAGGUCUGAAACAUUCUGUGAUGUAAUCUGCAACGAGGUGUUUAUUUAGCAGUCACCUUGCGCCAUCUAUGGGUCGGGAUGUUUCCUUGCAACUUUGACUGUAAGCCCUUGUGGCACCUUCAGAUACAAUGUGAUUUCAUUUUUGUGAAAGCCUUGUUUCAUUUUUUGGUUUCCUUGUUUUUGUUUUGGAUAGAUUUAACACUUUCUGUGACUAUCAGGAAUCCUCUCUCUGGAACAAGGGAGAAAUUUUGCCUUGAGAUGUAGACAUGCAUGAAGAAGGACCUGGACGUCUGGAUUUCAUUUGGUAAUGUGUUUCGAAUAGCCAGGAAAUCCUCUCCUCUACGUUAAAUGACCAGGACGUCAUUAAAACAAAACAAAAAACAAAAAACCUGUGAGGCUUGCAUUUUCCCACAGUUUUCUGGGAAAGGGGAUGGGCCAGACAUUGGAGUUAUUUCUACUUUCUAUUGUCCCAGCGUUUUUUUCUUAGCGCCAGUUGGUAUAGGGAAGGCCACUGAUGGAACAAAGGAAAGUUCAAGCGUUGUGAAAGGAAGGAAGGCAAGGGAAAUCAGGGAGGACUCUUUGGAGACGAAGUAGGUUCUGGACUUUAGAGGAAAUGAGAGCCACAGGAAAGGAGGAGACCACCUGUCCCCUGUGUCUGCAGUUCAAGACAGCCUCACGUAGAAAGAAAAACUAGUUUCUCACGAAGCUGCCUCAUAUCAAGCUUUUUUCCCCCUUAAGUCUCCAUUUCUAUGGCACCUGCCUGUUUUUGUGCUGAGUUCCCUUGUCCUCUCCCUGGUCCAACCAUGCCAGUGCUCUCUCUUAGUUUCUGGAAAACGUCAUGCUCUCCAUCACUAGGGGCUUUUGCAUCUGCUGCUGCCUCUACUUGAAACCCUCUGUAUCCUGGUAAGUCCUCUUCACCCUAUAGACUUUAGCUUCACAGUCACUUCCUGAAGGAGGCCUUGCCUGAUCCCCUUGGACAUGCAUGCCACAUACUGACUGCAUUCUGACCUCUCCUUUGGAACUAACAUCACUCUUGUAGGCUACAGGUCCAACGGUUGUCUUCUGUAUUGCAAUCAGGAGAUCCUGUCUAUAUCCCCAUUGGCCAAUAAGAGGACACAUGGAGGGAUCAGGAGGGAGAAAUAGCAAAAUUGUACAUGUUCCAUUAUUAAGUUUUCUUUGGAGGUCUAAUUUAUUUUAUUAUUUUGAAAAGUUUUUGUUUUAUUUUUAUUUUAUUUUUUAAUUUUUAUUAUUUUUAGAGAAAUAGAGUACAUACAAGCAGGGGAGAGGGACAAAGGGAAAGAGAGAAUCUCAAGCAGGCUCCAUGCUUGGCAUGGAGCCUGAUGCGGGGCUCAAUGCUAUGACCCUGGGAUUGUGACCUAAGCUGAAAUCAAGAGUUGGGUGUUCAACUGACUGAACCAGGAGGUUUAUUUUAGAAAACAAGCAAAAGGUAAUAAAGUACCCAAUCACCAAUCCAUGGUAGGGUUGGGGGUGAGCAUGUUGUGCGUGCCAUUUUCUCAGCACAGCAAUGGGGCAGGCCCCUGUUUUCUGACUCCCCUCUGGUCCUGUGGGGAGAAGGGGAAACACUCUAGGGUAGAAGUUGUUUUUAUUCCUGUCCUUGAGGAUAGAUGUAGCAUAAUGAUCAUGCAGAGAGGCCUCUAAUUGGAGCAUGAUAAGACCACCAGAUUCAGGAAGGGAGAGAACUUUUCUCCAUCAAUGAAUUGAGAAAAGCCAUUUCCCAGAGUUCAGAGAAGAAUUGGAAAAAUGUCCAUAAUGCAAUCCUUUGAAAUAUGUACUAAAAAUAUGUAAUAAACUGUAAAUCAAUUACAAAGAGGACUGUGCUGGGGCUUGAAUGUAUUGAGCCCAACUGUAGAGCCAAGCAUUUUGAACUGGAGAGAAAUAAGAAGAGAAGGGGCCAAGUGAUCCAGCUCUAUGCUUCUUUUUUGUUUUGUUAUGAAUACAAAUAUGUUAUGAAUGCAAAUGAAUAAAAUCUUGUUAUAUUCAAAAUUAUA